RNAcentral lists this ribosomal RNA (440 nucleotides) under uncultured bacterium. RNAcentral's name for it is "partial 16S ribosomal RNA". It matches the Rfam family "Bacterial small subunit ribosomal RNA", at positions 338 to 795 of the family's 1533-position model. The record is from RNAcentral.
CCUACGGGAGGCAGCAGUGGGGGAUAUUGCACAAUGGGGGGAACCCUGAUGCAGCGACGCCGCGUGGGUGAAGAAGGGCCUCGGCGCGGAAAGCACUGUCAGCAGGGAAGAAAAGGACGGUACCUGAAGAAGAAGCCCCGGCUAACUCCGUGCCAGCAGCCGCGGUAAUACGGAGGGGGCAAGCGUUAUCCGGAUUUACUGGGUGGACAGGGGGCGCAGACGGCGCUGCAAGCCAGGAGGGAAAGCCCGGGGCCCAACCCCGGGACUGCUCUUGGAACUGCGUGGCUGGAGUGCAGGAGGGGCAGGCGGAAUUCCUGGUGUAGCGGUGAACUGCGUCGAUAUCAGGAGGAACACCGGUGGCGAAGGCGGCCUGCUGGACUGCAACUGACGUUGCGGCCCGAAAGCGUGGGGAGCAAACAGGAUUAGAUACCCCUGUAGUC